This 620-nucleotide long non-coding RNA is filed under the name Manihot esculenta (cassava). RNAcentral describes it as "long non-coding RNA (MESC_LNC003545)". The record is from RNAcentral. Lineage: Eukaryota; Viridiplantae; Streptophyta; Magnoliopsida; Malpighiales; Euphorbiaceae.
ACCAAAAAAGAACUAUAAAUUCAAAUUUCUAAGUGGUACAUUAAGAUGAAAAUUAUCCGCUUGAACUGAAGCACUGUCAACAGAGCUAGAUUGUUCUCGGGAUCUAUCAUUUAUCAUUCCAGCUGCUUCAUCAUGGCUUUCUAAAGGUUGUAUAGCCUGUGCUGAGCCAAAAUCUGUUAAUUUCCUCAGCUCUGUGGUAGAAAGGUUGCCAUAUUCUGCAUCGAGAACUUGCUCACUUUUACCAAUUGUUUCUUGAUCAAGAAUACCACUAGCCUUCUCUACCUAUCAAAUAAAAAUAUUCAGUAUCACAGGAAGGGAAAAUUUAAACCAAUGCACAGGAGACUUCACCAAAAAAGAACUAUAAAUUCAAAUUUCUAAGUGGUACAUUAAGAUGAAAAUUAUCCGCUUGAACUGAAGCACUGUCAACAGAGCUAGAUUGUUCUCGGGAUCUAUCAUUUAUCAUUCCAGCUGCUUCAUCAUGGCUUUCUAAAGGUUGUAUAGCCUGUGCUGAGCCAAAAUCUGUUAAUUUCCUCAGCUCUGUGGUAGAAAGGUUGCCAUAUUCGGCAUCGAGAACUUGCUCACUUUUACCAAUUGUUUCUAGAUAGGAAAUACCAUCAACC